UUGCUUGCUUCAGCAGCACAUAUUCUAAAAUUGGAACAAUACAGAGAAGAUUAGCACGGCCCCUGUGCAAGGAUGACAUACAAAUUCAUGAAGUGUUCCAUAUUUUU
Molecule: small nuclear RNA, 107 nt
Filed under: Sus scrofa (pig)
Lineage: Eukaryota; Metazoa; Chordata; Mammalia; Artiodactyla; Suidae
Source: RNAcentral